UUUAUGGAGAGUUUGAUUCUGGCUCAGAGUGAACGCUGGCGGCGUGGCUAAGACAUGCAAGUCGAGCGGGAUUUAUAGAUGUAGCAAUACAUUUGUGAUGAGAGCGGCAAACGGGUGAGUAAUACAUAAGCAAUCUGCCUUAAAGUUUGGGAUAGCUCGGGGAAACUCGAAUUAAUACCGGAUGUGGUCUUAAACUGCAUGGUUUAAGCACUAAAGCUUGCAAUGGCGCU
RNAcentral lists this ribosomal RNA (230 nucleotides) under Opitutales bacterium. RNAcentral's name for it is "partial 16S ribosomal RNA". It matches the Rfam family "Bacterial small subunit ribosomal RNA", at positions 1 to 219 of the family's 1533-position model. Lineage: Bacteria; Pseudomonadati; Verrucomicrobiota; Opitutia; Opitutales. The record is from RNAcentral.